ACUCCUUGAAGCAGCUCCGAGCCCUGCUUCCUUUCGUAGACGCAGGAGGUGUGGAGACUUGGACAACACUUUGGCCAACCUGCGCAGUAACACCUCCUCCCUCUCUUCUCCAUUUCGGUUCAGUUCAGGGUGGCGGCGGUUAACAUCUUGGCCCCAAAUUCUAGGUUAAAGGCGGAUCCCGCCCGGCGAGCACCGGCCCCAGGAAACGCGUCUGGCGCCCGCGAGAAGACAAAGGCGCUCGCAGUGGAAUCAGGGCGGAAGUGGGAAGUGACCCGAAACUCAAGGCCCCAAGAAGCAGUCUGAGCACAGUCUGGACGCUGCUGAACCAAGCGGGAAACAGUUCUGGCAACUCUUCAAGAACAAAAGGUAAUUUUCUUUUUCAUUUCUUUUUGAAUUUUGAAAAGUUCUCUACUGUUUAAAGAUUGAAAUCUCAGAAUAUAACAUUAUUUCAAAUAUCAAAUUUUAAUUUGAAUGUCAUUAACUAUAUACAUUUAGCCUCAUUAAAAAAAAUGCAUAGGCCAUGCAUGAAAAUUAUCUGGGCUGGAUGGCAAAUUUGAUUAAUUUCCUUGGUACUUUAUUCUUCUAAUUAUCUUUAUUAGAAGUGUAGUCUUUUUUAAGUUUGAAAAAAGAGGGAAAGUACCAAGAAAAUAUGAAAUGUGCAAGUAUACUUUACUCUUUUUACAUUUUUUAAAUGUUUUGAUUGAGAUUUAAGGUAAAGAAAUAAAUUAUCAGAGAUAAAAUAAAUGUUCUCUAAUUUCUAUUUAAAGUAUAUUUUUAAUCAAAAAAGCCAUCAAGGUGUUAAUUUUCUAAGUUAUUGUAAAUAUGGUUGCAUUUUCCAUGUUUAUGCCUCUUCCUUGGGCAGGACCUAAUGUGAGAGUUUUAGAUUUCAAAAAGUCCACAGAAGCUGAACAAUCAGUAAACUUUUAAGGAUAUUUAUAGUUUAAAUGAAAAUAAAGUUAUUGUAUGUUUGUAAUAAGGAUUUCAUGUUGUAAAAGGGGUCCAAAGUAAUAAUUCUCUAAUACCAAAAUAAAUAUUAACCUAGGAAUGGUGGACACGCUGGUUGAGAUUUGUAAGAAAACUUCUUUCUUCCAUUGUUGUUUCUUUAUCUAGGUCAUGGUGAAUCUAAAUAUUUCUUCUAAGGCUGGAGACUCACAUAUUGUUUGAUUUCUUGGUGUACUGAACCAAAGUCAUGGACCCAGGAUAAGGAAGAGAGUGAAUUUAGAGACGAAGUAAGGAAGGACAAACAAUACAUGUUAAUAGUUUCAUAAGAAUACGUCUCAUACCUACACUGGCCCAAUAUAUUAUGAUAGAACCCAAGCAAGACCAUUUGGAAUAAAAAGUUUCUCAAAAACCACUGUCAAGGGACUUCCCUGGUGGUCCAGUGGUUAAGAAACCACCUUCCAAUGCAGGGGACAUGGAUUCAAUCCCUGUUCUGGGGACUACGAUUUCACAUGCUGAGGGGCAACUAAACCUGUGUGGCUGCAACUACUGAGUCCAUGGGCCGCAACUAGAGAGCCCAUGUGGCAGCUGUGAGCCCAUGUGGCAGCUGUGGAGCUCACGUGCUCUGGAUCGCAACUAGAGAGCCCACGUGCCACAGCUGUGGAGCUCACGUGCUCUGGACUGCACACCAAAGCUAGGGAGAAGACCACAUGCCACAACCAAGACCUGAUGCAGUUGUAAAUAAACAAAUAAAGAAACCAAGAUCCAGAAAUUCUAUCAAAAUGCACUUCUGAAGGCUGCUGGAGUGCAAAGCUUCCAGAACACACUGAUGAAAAAGGCUGUAAGUUGUGAA
Bos grunniens (domestic yak) is the source of this 1792-nucleotide long non-coding RNA. The record is from Ensembl. NCBI's taxonomy places the organism in Eukaryota, Metazoa, Chordata, Mammalia, Artiodactyla, Bovidae.